This 301-nucleotide ribosomal RNA is filed under the name uncultured bacterium. Its description in RNAcentral is "partial 16S ribosomal RNA". It matches the Rfam family "Bacterial small subunit ribosomal RNA", at positions 509 to 807 of the family's 1533-position model. The record is from RNAcentral.
CAGUCGCCACGGGAAUACGAAGGGGGCUAGCGUUGCUCGGAAUGACUGGGCGUAAAGGGCGCGUAGGCGGCGAUCAAAGUCAGGCGUGAAAUUCCUGGGCUCAACCUGGGGGCUGCGUUUGAUACUUGAUUGCUAGAGUGGGGAAGAGGGUCGUGGAAUUCCCAGUGUAGAGGUGAAAUUCGUAGAUAUUGGGAAGAACACCGGUGGCGAAGGCGGCGACCUGGUCCUUGACUGACGCUGAGGCGCGAAAGCGUGGGGAGCAAACAGGAUUAGAGACCCCCGUAGUCCCUGUCUCUUAUAC